GGGGGGUUCCAUGCGCUCAAAGGCUAGCUAGGCGGAGAGCUAAUGAGAAGACAAUUGGGCAGCAAACCUCAUCUAGACGCGCGACUCCGCGAUAACGAACAAUUAUCGAACGACAGCUAAGCUAAUAGCUCAUCUAGGCGGCUAACCACAGCUAAGCCAGGUCGGCUAAUCCGUCCGAACACACCGACCAACUAAAGCGAGCAAACCAACGCACAGGAUCAGGAUACGCGGCUAAAACAACCGAGCGAAGUAGAUCCACACGCAUCGACCAACUAAGGCAAUCCAAGGUAUAAGACUUAAAUAAAUACGGAUUGAAAAAGUACCAAGUGGGAACAUCAUCAACGGACAGCCAGAUCAGACUUUAAGCACAAUAAUAACAACUAAGUAUAUGGCAUGUGAAGAAGUCUACUAACAACUUGUAUCUAGACGAUCCUCAAUGUGAUAUAACGGAAGAGUUGUACGGUUUCUAACACGACUAUCUAAACAAUUGAAAACCAUCCAAAACGAUGAUGAAAUUAGACAAUACAAAAAAAGAUCAAAAACGAUCUAUCCAACCAAGACAUGCUAACAACGGUUCAAAUAUACGACCCAAGAAAAUCCAAGAACUAAGACCUAAACAAAUGAUGAUCGAAAGAGUACCACGUCGGAGUAGCAAACGUAAACAAGAUGAGACUUUAAAUACAAUAAUGACAACGUGGACAGGUCUAACGACACAGGGUUAAACUCGUACAUAAACGAUCCUAAAUCUGAUAUAUCGGAAGAGUAGUCCGAAUUCUAACACGACUAUCUAACCCUAAAAAUGAUCUAAGUAUAACUCUACAAGCAAAUAGACAUUGAUCCUAAAGUAGAGAGACAUGGACAUAACAAAUACAGGACGUACAAGGGAAAGUUGACGAAGAAUGAGACCCAAAUGAAACAUAAAUGUCUACGUCUAUAAACACUUCUGGGAGUGGCCGUUCUGGUAGUGGGAACUCCAACUCAGUAGCCUGUGGUAGCUGUUGCAGUUCCGCUUCUAAAUCCUGUUCCUCCCAUAGGGGGGCCUGGUCGUCGCGGAGUAGAAACGACCGUUCGUCGAGCUCCUACCAGCAUGGGAACGACUGAUGUUGUAGGUCUUCCUCAGGUGAGAGGUGGACCACGAGGCGGAAGCACCACCAUACGUCUAGAAGCAGUUGUGGGACUGCCCGUUCUGGUAGUGAGACCUCCACCUCAGGAGCCUGUGGUAGCUGUUGCACUUCCGCUUCUAGGUCCUGUUCCUCCCGUAGGGGGGCCUGGUCGUCGCAGAGUAGAAACGACCAUUCGUCGAACUCCUACCGGCGUGAGACCGUCUGAUGUUGUAGGUCUUCCUCAGAUGGGAAGUGAACCACGAAGCGGACGCACCACCGGUCAUUCACGGACCAGUGCCACACCGAAGACAACCCAAGUGUCCAGAACACAGCAGCCACAGGAGGUUAUCCACGCGAACAGACCAGCACAGCAACAAAGGUAGUGACUAGACAAGCCAACACAGCUAAUGACUAGACAAGCCAACACAGCUAAUGAACGGCACCGAAACCUACCACUUGAUACUAAUUAUUCCCUCGAGAAUUAUAGCACGCAUUAAACACAGUCAAGAAGUAUGGACACGACGACGACAAACAGACGCGGACAUACCGUCUUAACCUAUUAAACGUUCAAAACAACGGAAUAGUAGU
This 1691-nucleotide ribosomal RNA is filed under the name Triticum aestivum (bread wheat). RNAcentral's name for it is "partial small subunit ribosomal RNA". Lineage: Eukaryota; Viridiplantae; Streptophyta; Magnoliopsida; Poales; Poaceae. The record is from RNAcentral.